UCCAGAGAGAAAGUCAGAAAAACCAGCGUCUGUAGCCAGAAGUCCCAUAAAGGUCAUACCUGGUCUCUCCUCAACAAAUGCUUUCACAGCUGCAUCGGUCACCUACAAUAUAAACAAAUAGAAACAAGAGCGGGCAGGAUUCCUGGCUGACCAAGCAGCUGACGAGCCACAUCCGAGGUAAACUGCUUAUCAUCACUGAUGUCCAGGUGCUGCAGAGCCACAGUACAUCCAACUGGCGUAUGACUCCCAGCAGCUGAGCCGUGCUCAUUUCCAGCCUCUUCAGCUGGUGUAGUGUUAGUGAGCGCAGACGCUCCUUCAGGCCCAGCAGAGGGGUGAGGUUGGUGAUCGAGGUGUUGGAGAUAUCGAGACUUUCCAGACGGGGCAGGGAGCACACGUCCACUAACCCAGAGUCAUAGAAGUCUACAUUGGCUAGAGAGAGUGAGCGGAGGCCCGGGAGGGAGCUGAAGCGAUACCGGAUUGGUUCUUCCAGAGAAAACAUGGUGAGACCUGUUAAGCUCAGACGCUGAAGGGACUCCUGUCGAGUUUUAACAAAGUAAACAAAACCAACAAGCUGUUAUUUUAUAUGAUGAUCGAGGGAGCGGUGCUCAGCCAACACACAAACAUACUUCCACUUUACCUGGCAGUAUUUAUUGGUAGCCAGUCCCUGUAGAAUAUCAUGGAUAGUGAGGUCUGCAUUGACUCUAGCAGCAUCCAGCUCCAACAGUCUGUGAGGACAGAUGGCUUUCUGGAAGGCCUCCGCAGAGAUACGUGCUGUACGGAUGCAGGCUCGUCUCAGACGCAGGUAUUCACAGUUACGAAAUACACCCACGGUGCUGUCAUUCAAUAGACCUGCAGAGUGACAACAUGUUAAUGUUCACUUUCCAUCUGUACCAUCUAAAAAAAGCUCUUUUAUUUUUCUUUAACUUUGAGGAGGGGGCACUUAAUCAUGGACAAACAGCACUAAGAGGAUUAGCUCUUUGUGGAAUUCUGGCUCUUGAUUAGAUAAUGAUAUGGGAUAGUGAAGAAGUUUCUCCUCAAUUUACUAUCAGACCCUUGAGACUGAAGCCGUUUCAGUCAUGAACUCCAAAUAAUGUCAAAACAACUGGGUGUGGACAUUUUCCAGAGUUCCUGGGUGUGGACAGUUCCAGCUGCCAUUCACGUCACAGAUUGUGUGGGUUCAGAAAUGACCAGCUCUAUGUGUUGUGGGAUUUUACCUUCAGUCGCCAUCUUGGCCAGCAGCUGGUCUGCUAGCUCUUGUGGGAAGUGUACAGCCUCUCUGAAGCACAGAGAACCAUCGGGGCGCUUGGCACAGAAACACUCGAAGUUUUGGCUCACAUAGGUCAGACAUAGGUCUGUCAGUGCCGCAGGGGAUGCCUCUUCCUGAAAAACAUUUAAUAACACAAGGCCAUUUAUUUUAACAGUUAAUACUUAGUCUGGAUAUGUAUAAAUACUUAAAUUAUUCCUAUUCAACAUGGAGCAAGCAAAUUUCACUUCUUUAACAGAGGUAAGUCAACACUGAAAUAAGACAUUUUGAAUUACAGAAUUUUGUAUUUUGACUUAUCAAAAAUAAAUGUCUGAAUUACAGAUAUCUCUGUCAAAGUUAGCAGUCACAUACAAUAUCUCACUGUUAUAUUGAUUAAUCAAAACUGAAGUCAAAAUGAUGUUGAUAUCUGUAGGUCAUCAGCUAGACAAAUCUGAAAUACAAUUAUCUGCAUCAUUUCAAUCUGUAAACAUUAUUAUUCAGUUUUAAUUAGGGAUGUAUAAUAUUGGACAUUUUGCUGGUAUCCGAUAUGCCAAUAAAUUGAUACUGAUAUAUAGCCUA
Solea solea (common sole) is the source of this 1822-nucleotide long non-coding RNA. RefSeq lists it as uncharacterized. The transcript has 3 exons. The record is from RefSeq and is a predicted model, not a curated record. Lineage: Eukaryota; Metazoa; Chordata; Actinopteri; Pleuronectiformes; Soleidae.